UCGAGAUGCCUAAAAAGCAUUUCAUAGCAAGGGCCGGGCAAGACCGGUGCCAGCCGCCGCGGUAACACCGGCGGCUCGAGUGGUAACCGUUAUUAUUGGGUCUAAAGGGUCUGUAGCCGGCCGGAUAAGUCUCUUGAGAAAUCUGGCAGCUUAACUGUCAGGCUUUCAGGAGAUACUGUCUGGCUCGAGGCCGGGAGAGGUGAGAGGUACUUCAGGGGUAGGGGUGAAAUCUUGUAAUCCUUGAAGGACCACCAGUGGCGAAGGCGUCUCACCAGAACGGACCUGACGGCAAGGGACGAAAGCUAGGGGCACGAACCGGAUUAGAUACCCGGGUAGUCCUAGCCGUAAACGAUACUCGCUAGGUGUCGGCCACGGUGCGACCGUUGUCGGUGCCGUAGGGAAGCCGUGAAGCGAGCCACCUGGGAAGUACGGCCGCAAGGCUGAAACUUAAAGGAAUUGGCGGGGGAGCACCACAACGGGUGGAGCUUGCGGUUUAAUUGGAUUCAACGCCGGG
This 514-nucleotide ribosomal RNA is filed under the name uncultured archaeon. RNAcentral's name for it is "bacterial SSU rRNA". It matches the Rfam family "Archaeal small subunit ribosomal RNA", at positions 408 to 922 of the family's 1478-position model. The record is from RNAcentral.